UCAUUUGGUUUUCCAACGUACUGGGAAGAAUAUGCUAAAAAGUAUCUCAGGGAAGAGUCUUCUAAGGGCAUUGGUUUCGGAAACAUCUCUACCGCGGAGAAAGUAACUACCAAACCUGGUUGUGGAAUACAUUGUCAUUGUGGCUUUAAAGAAUCUAAAUUAGUUUGACUUUUGAGUAAGUUCAAGGAUGUUAAUGAAGAUAGCUAGAUUUCCAAGAUCUGCUGAUGAAGUAAGUGUCAGUAUAGAUUCCAAAUUUUCAGAUGUUAACCUUGAAGGCACAGAACAACUUACAGCACCGGAAAAUAGAUCGAAAGACAAGGAAAAGGAGGAUGGCAGAAAUGCUAC
This is a long non-coding RNA of Tripterygium wilfordii, 345 nucleotides long. RefSeq lists it as uncharacterized. NCBI's taxonomy places the organism in Eukaryota, Viridiplantae, Streptophyta, Magnoliopsida, Celastrales, Celastraceae. The transcript has 3 exons. The record is from RefSeq and is a predicted model, not a curated record.